GAUAGUUCAGUCAGAAGAGCACGAGACUCUUAAUCUUAGGGUUGUGGGUUCGAAACCCAUAUUGCUCA
Podarcis lilfordi (Lilford's wall lizard) is the source of this 68-nucleotide non-coding RNA. NCBI's taxonomy places the organism in Eukaryota, Metazoa, Chordata, Lepidosauria, Squamata, Lacertidae. The record is from the annotation of a GenBank genome assembly.